GAUGAACGCUGGCGGCGUGCCUAAUACAUGCAAGUCGAACGAAACUUCUUUAUCACCGAGUGCUUGCACUCACCGAUAAAGAGUUGAGUGGCGAACGGGUGAGUAACACGUGGGCAACCUGCCCAAAAGAGGGGGAUAACACUUGGAAACAGGUGCUAAUACCGCAUAACCAUAGUUAACGCAUGGUAACUAUGUAAAAGGUGGCUAUACUACCGCUUUUGGAUGGGCCCGCGGCGCAUUAGCUAGUUGGUAGGGUAAAGGCUUACCAAGGCAAUGAUGCGUAGCCGAAUUGAGAGGUUGAUCGGCCACAUUGGGACUGAGACACGGCCCAAACUCCUACGGGAGGCAGCAGUAGGGAAUCUUCCACAAUGGGCGAAAGCCUGAUGGAGCAACGCCGCGUGGGUGAAGAAGGUCUUCGGAUCGUAAAACCCUGUUGUUAGAGAAGAAAGUGCGUGAGAGUAACUGUUCACGUUUCGACGGUAUCUAACCAGAAAGCCACGGCUAACUACGUG
RNAcentral lists this ribosomal RNA (512 nucleotides) under uncultured bacterium. RNAcentral's name for it is "partial 16S ribosomal RNA". It matches the Rfam family "Bacterial small subunit ribosomal RNA", at positions 28 to 507 of the family's 1533-position model. The record is from RNAcentral.